Molecule: unclassified non-coding RNA, 244 nt
Filed under: plant metagenome
Description: partial contains small subunit ribosomal RNA, internal transcribed spacer 1, and 5.8S ribosomal RNA
Source: RNAcentral
UUUCCGUAGGUGAACCUGCGGAAGGAUCAUUAACGAAUAUAUGUCUGUUGUAAGACAUUUUUCUAUUUCAGACACCUGUUAAUUUUAUGAAAUUUUUGCUUUGGCUGAAAUUAAUAUAUAUAUAUAUUUUUUUUUUGGCCAAAAGUUUUUAAUUAAAGCCUUUUUAUUUAUAAACAUUUUGAAUCUGAAGACUGUUUUAUGAAAAAUUUAUUUAAAACUUUCAACAACGGAUCUCUUGGUUCCC